This 933-nucleotide long non-coding RNA is filed under the name Neogale vison (American mink). Its description in RNAcentral is "Neovison vison (American mink) lncRNA (ENSNVIG00000013488.1)". The record is from RNAcentral. Lineage: Eukaryota; Metazoa; Chordata; Mammalia; Carnivora; Mustelidae.
CCUGAAGCAAAUAAAUAAAUCUUUAAGGAAAGGGGGUCUGAAAAAUCCCUUAAAGAGCCACCAAGAAGAGCACAGAGGACAUGGACUGGGGGGUUCGCCCUGUGCAGAAAAGUGCGUGAAAGACAUCAUCCGCCAGGGGGUCAGGGCUCCGUCCGGCGUGGGCCACAUGCCCAUCUCGCCCGCACACAGGCCGGCCGGGAGGGCCGAGCGCGCGGCGUACGCGAGAAGCGGCCCAAGGCUCGCCGGCACCUCCCUUCCCAAACCCAGGUUCGCUCCGCGCAGGCGCGCUUCUCCGCGUUCCGGCGCUCCGAACGCGCAACGAAACCGCCCCAAGAUCCCCUCACCUCCCCUUCGCGUCAAGGAGGCAGAAACGCGGGGGAAACCUCGGUUACGACAACCUCGUCGUUUAGCGGAGCCCGAGCGCCCGUUUCAUGGAAGACGUACCCGACGGUGCGUGAGGGAAGCCUGCCUCCGUCACCCACCCGAUGAACGGAAACACCAGGCAGGCACAGAACACUUGAACGCGCGCCUUUGUCAUCAAGACACUUACUCUGACUUCGUCCUCAGGACCUUGGAACCUCAAGCCAGAUUCUGUUGCCCACCUAGAACUUGGAAUAGAGCAGUGCAUGAUGGACAGAGGGCUCUCCCAAGAUUCCCGCCUAGGUGAGAUGGGAAAGGAUCUUUACAGUCAGUGUUUGUUUAUAUGUUCCUUCAUAUCUUCCUUCUCUGCUGCUUUUCAUUACCUUUUCAUUUCCAUAAUUCCAUCUGGGAUCAUUUUCCUUUUGCUUAGAGUUCCCUUUAUCAUUUCUUUUAGAGUGACAAAACGCCUUCAUUUUGUGUUUGCCUGAAAAUGCCUUUAUUUCAUCUUCAUUUUGGAAAGAUACUGUAAACAGAAUUUUAGGUUGUCGGGUUUUGGGUUUUGUUUUUUUUUUU